Molecule: long non-coding RNA, 397 nt
Organism: Telopea speciosissima
Lineage: Eukaryota; Viridiplantae; Streptophyta; Magnoliopsida; Proteales; Proteaceae
Exons: 3
Source: RefSeq, a predicted model, not a curated record
UUUAAGCGCGAAGAAUGUCCCCAAGGAACUGUUCCCAUUCAAAGGACUUCAAAAGAAGAUCUUUUACGGGCUAAAGCUUUAUCCAGAGAAUUCACUAUCAAUAUCAGCCAAAGCAAGAGACAUUUCCCUGGACAAUAUAUUGCGGAUGUUAAUGAUGAGACACCUGAUCUACUUCAUGGAGCUUCUGCAAUCAUGAAUGUAUACAAUCCAACUGUAGAGCCUUCGCAGUUUACAACUGCCCAAAUUUGGAUUAAUGGUGGUCCAAAUGAAACCCCUAAUUAUAUAAUGGCUGGAUGGACGGGUGAUAAUUAUCAGAAUGGAUGCUACAAUACUCUUUGCACAGGUUUUGUACAAAUUGACAAAUCAGUGACUCCAAGUGAUACUAUAUCUCCAAUUU